AAAAGCUCUAACAUCAUCUCAACAAAUUACAGUAUCUGAAGCAAAUCGAGGGAAGAAGACGAUAAUGGAAGCCGCGAAAUUGUUGAAGGCGAAGGGACAGAGCCAGAGGAUCGUGGUUGCUGUGGACGAGAGUGAAGAGAGUAUGUACGCCUUGCAAUGGUGUCUCUCAAAUCUCACUUCUCCAGACACCAAAAACACUCUGAUUCUCCUCUACGUUAAGCCUUCUCCCGCCAUCUCCCUCUCCUCCUUCGAUGCGCCUGGCUAUGUGUUUUCGAGCGAGGUGAUUUCGGCGAUGGAAAAGCAGAGUAAGGAUUUGGUUAGCGGGGUGAUGAAGAGAGCGGAAGAGGUUUAUGCGAAGUUUAGUACAAAUGUAAUGGAUGAAGCAUCUCUGAUUUGUGAUUUGUGAUGUGUGUAUGUUUGAUUUUAGAGUAAUUUUUGUGAGCGGCAUUUUGUCGAACACUUGGUGUGUGUUGCAGGUAAAUUUGGAGAGAGUAGUGGGAAGGGGAGAUGCGAAGAACGUAAUAUGUCGCACAGUGGAGAAGCUUGGAGCCGAUACCUUGGUAAUGGGAUGCCAUGGUUAUGGCUUCUUCCAGAGGGCUUUGCUUGGGAGUGUGAGCGAUUACUGUGCGAAAUAUGCGAAAUGUCCUGUGGUUAUUGUGAAGCAUCCUUAAGAUUCCAAAGAAACAAAGUAAUUAAAGCCCUUAAUUCAGAUGUAAUAUUCUAUGGUUUACGUUAAUGGAAGUUAGGUGUUGCAUCUCUUUAAGUUUCGAGGAAGAUGAAGUAAGGCUUCCAUUUAUUUUGCAAUCCUUGAAAUAUUAGGUAGUUCAAAUUCAAGUCUAAAAUGAUUUUGGAUAUGACUUUUACUACAG
RNAcentral lists this unclassified non-coding RNA (869 nucleotides) under Hevea brasiliensis (rubber tree). Lineage: Eukaryota; Viridiplantae; Streptophyta; Magnoliopsida; Malpighiales; Euphorbiaceae. The record is from RNAcentral.